UCAUACCUACGGGACGCAGCAGUCGAGAAUCAUUCACGAUGGGGGAAACCCUGAUGGUGCGACGCCGCGUGGGGGAAUGAAGGUCUUCGGAUUGUAAACCCCUGUCAUGUGGGAGCAAAUUAAAAAGAUAGUACCACAAGAGGAAGAGACGGCUAACUCUGCGCCAGCAGCCGCGGUAAUACAGAGGUCUCAAGCGUUGUUCGGAAUCACUGGGCGUAAAGCGUGCGUAGGCUGUUUCGUAAGUCGUGUGUGAAAGGAGCGGGCUCAACCCGCGGACGGCACAUGAUACUGCGAGACUAGAGUAA
RNAcentral lists this ribosomal RNA (305 nucleotides) under uncultured bacterium. Its description in RNAcentral is "bacterial SSU rRNA". It matches the Rfam family "Bacterial small subunit ribosomal RNA", at positions 333 to 649 of the family's 1533-position model. The record is from RNAcentral.